Molecule: long non-coding RNA, 341 nt
Organism: Dreissena polymorpha
Lineage: Eukaryota; Metazoa; Mollusca; Bivalvia; Myida; Dreissenidae
Exons: 3
Source: RefSeq, a predicted model, not a curated record
GUCACUGAAAAAGAUUCAAGAGGUGGAGUAUUUGGCUAUAAAAUAGUAAAAGUUGUGUUGGUUACAAUCAUCAAAAACUUCCGACAUUCGAAGAGGAAACUCAGCUUUCUGUUCUAGAAAAGGAAUAGUGCGUCUCAACAAUGAACAAAAUCUUCCUUGUGAGCCUGCUUGUAUGCUGCGUCGCUCUGCUGACUUUGCCACAAGUGAUUGAAGCGUCCGACUGUCGUUGCAAAAAAGGCCCUUGUGAUGAUUCAUAUGAAGAAGAUGCCGGCCCAUGCACGUACAAGCGAGGAAGAAAAGGGAGAUUUUGCUGCGUCAGUAACCCGAGUGGGUAGAUAAUG